Molecule: non-coding RNA, 387 nt
Organism: Musa acuminata subsp. malaccensis (wild Malaysian banana)
Lineage: Eukaryota; Viridiplantae; Streptophyta; Magnoliopsida; Zingiberales; Musaceae
Source: RefSeq, a predicted model, not a curated record
AAGCAGGCAACGCGCUUGAGAUCGCGUUGGCGCCCAUGGCGACCUCGAGGAUGCCAAACCCUAAUGCUAAAUGCUCCUCGAUCUCCUCAUCCGCUUCUCAGAUCCUUAUGUUGGAACCUUUGGUGUCGACCUCUCCGACGAGGAAAGCGAACGCCGUCUUCGUAGCGGGAGGUCGCUGCGUAGCAGCAGGAAGAGGGAGUUUUCGUUUGAAUUGGAUUUGAUCGUAGGCCGGGAGGAAGAUUCGUGCCACGGGUGAGUUCCAUAGCAGAGCCAUCGAUGGUAUGAAUUGUCUUAUCUUCCAUCUUCUCCUUUAAUCUUAUGUUUGCUCUGUUCGGUCUGAUCUGCCCUGAUAAUGCAAAUUUCUCCCAAGAUCAUUUGUUGAGGUUU